RNAcentral lists this ribosomal RNA (439 nucleotides) under uncultured bacterium. RNAcentral's name for it is "partial 16S ribosomal RNA". It matches the Rfam family "Bacterial small subunit ribosomal RNA", at positions 339 to 795 of the family's 1533-position model. The record is from RNAcentral.
CUACGGGGCGCUCCAGUGGGGAAUAUUGCACAAUGGAGGAAACUCUGAUGCAGCAACGCCGCGUGGAGGAUGACACUUUUCGGAGCGUAAACUCCUUUUAUAUAGGAAGAAGAUGACGGUACUAUAUGAAUAAGCGCCGGCUAACUCCGUGCCAGCAGCCGCGGUAAUACGGAGGGCGCAAGCGUUACUCGGAAUCACUGGGCGUAAAGAGCGUGUAGGCGGAUUAAAAAGUCAGAAGUGAAAUCCUAUAGCUUAACUAUAGAACUGCUUCUGAAACUCUUAAUCUAGAAUAUGGGAGAGGUAGAUGGGAUUUCUGGUGUAGGGGUAAAAUCCGUAGAGAUCAGAAGGAAUACCGAAUGCGAAGGCGAUCUACUAGAACAUUACUGACGCUAAGGCGUGAAAGCGUGGGGAGCAAACAGGAUUAGAUACCCCGGUAGUC